This 253-nucleotide ribosomal RNA is filed under the name uncultured bacterium. Its description in RNAcentral is "partial 16S ribosomal RNA". It matches the Rfam family "Bacterial small subunit ribosomal RNA", at positions 524 to 776 of the family's 1533-position model. The record is from RNAcentral.
UACGUAGGGGGCUAGCGUUGUUCGGAAUCACUGGGCGUAAAGGGCGCGUAGGCGGCUUUGUAAGUCGGGGGUGAAAGCCUGUGGCUCAACCACAGAAUUGCCUUCGAUACUGCAUGGCUUGAGACCGGAAGAGGUAAGUGGAACUGCGAGUGUAGAGGUGAAAUUCGUAGAUAUUCGCAAGAACACCAGUGGCGACGGCGGCUUACUGGUCCGGUUCUGACGCUGAGGCGCGAAAGCGUGGGGAGCAAACAGG